RNAcentral lists this long non-coding RNA (235 nucleotides) under Parus major (Great Tit). RNAcentral's name for it is "lncRNA (ENSPMJG00000014351.1)". The record is from RNAcentral. Lineage: Eukaryota; Metazoa; Chordata; Aves; Passeriformes; Paridae.
AUCAAAACACCUGAAAACAGCAGAGACAACCAAAAAUUUCAUGUAAAAGAGAAUUGCCCAUCAGUUCUGACUCAGAAGGUUCAAGUGGUGUGCAGUCAGCGUGGGAAAGGCACAGAACAUACUCAUCAGUAGUGAAGAUGGAAUUUACAGACUAGUGACCAAAUUCCCUUGCUUCCCUUCACUCUUCUGAAUAUGGUAACAGUUACAAAGCACCUGUGUGAAUUGGACUUGCCUG